This 498-nucleotide long non-coding RNA is filed under the name Bemisia tabaci. Its description in RNAcentral is "lncRNA ENSSSA2NGG012600". Lineage: Eukaryota; Metazoa; Arthropoda; Insecta; Hemiptera; Aleyrodidae. The record is from RNAcentral.
CUAGACUGCAGAAGUUGAAGGAUUUGUUAGGACCAUCCGAAGCUCUAGCGAUAAUCAGGCCAAAUAUGCGACCCCUUCCUGCUGUUCCCUGCCAAAGUUGCAUGAAAAAAAUAGGAGUCAACAUGAAAAGAAAGGAACAGAGCCAGUGACGAUGCAAUUUUUCUAAAAAUCACUACUUGAUCCUUGAAUUCUUGGAAUUUGUUUAUUCUUGCACGGAGCGAAGAAUGCCUCAUAGUGUGGAAUAUUUUGGAAGACCAUGUGCAAAGAAGGUCUAAUGAUGGCUAAGGUACGAAACCACAUAUCUCCAUUGCGUGACUAUUUUAGUUUCGUGAGCGAAAAUCAGCAUAUCGACGGUGUGAGGCAGCAACCACGUAUCCCUGAAAACGCGAUGGUUCAAGGGAGCGAAAUAAUUGUCUACACUCCUUAUCUUUGAAGGUAAGGGGAAUCAAUACUUGAACACCAAAAAAAAGUUGCUCUAUAGUAACUUCCAGGAUGUUA